RNAcentral lists this ribosomal RNA (233 nucleotides) under uncultured bacterium. Its description in RNAcentral is "partial 16S ribosomal RNA". It matches the Rfam family "Bacterial small subunit ribosomal RNA", at positions 118 to 347 of the family's 1533-position model. The record is from RNAcentral.
UGAGCGACCUACCUAAUUGUGGGGAUAGCCGGCCCAACGGCCGGGUAAUACCGCAUACGAUCGGAGAGGGGCAUCCCUUUCUGAGGAAAGCCUUCGGGCGCAAUUUGAGGGGCUCGCGGCCUAUCAGCUAGUUGGCGGGUAACGCCCACCAAGGCGACGACGGGUAGCUGGUCUGGAGAGGAUGAUCAGCCACACUGGGACUGAGACACGGCCCAGACUCCGUACGGGAGCAG